This 253-nucleotide ribosomal RNA is filed under the name uncultured bacterium. Its description in RNAcentral is "partial 16S ribosomal RNA". It matches the Rfam family "Bacterial small subunit ribosomal RNA", at positions 524 to 776 of the family's 1533-position model. The record is from RNAcentral.
UACAGAGGUCCCAAGCGUUGUUCGGAUUCAUUGGGCGUAAAGGGUGCGUAGGCGGCGCGGUAAGUCGGGUGUGUAAUCUCGGAGCUUAACUCCGAAACUGCAUUCGAUACUGCCGUGCUUGAGGACUGGAGAGGAGACUGGAAUUUACGGUGUAACGGUGAAAUGCGUAGAUAUCGUAAGGAAGACCAGUGGCGAAGGCGGGUCUCUGGACAGUUCCUGACGCUGAGGCACGAAGGCCAGGGGAGCAAACGGG